AUUAACAAUAUGUAUUAAUCAGUUGUAAAAUAUUAACCUUUAAGACUUGAUAAUGAAAAAAACAUCCUUAUCCAAGGGACCUAAGAAAGGUGCUUGGUAUCCAAAAGCUUGUCUAUAUUUUUCCCAAAUAAAUGUGUGGUCAAGUAAGAUAUGCCACCCCCCAAAAAAGUCCUUGCCUCUUGCAUCCUUAUCCAAGUAAUUUUUACUGGUGUGACUAGUUCAAUCUAAGGCUCUGGUCCUGCAAAGCCAUACAUAAUUAGCCCCUUUGUAGUAACCCCCCACCAACUACUGCUAUUCUCUUGUAGGCCUAAUAAAUGGACCUACUUGGGGUAGGUUGAUAGUACUUGGAUUAAGGGUGGGAUCACAAAAGGUCUAUACACUGUUGAAACUCCAUUUCAGUGGACCGAGGCCCAAAUUCAAAGCACUUAUUAACUACAUGCUUAACCUGAAACUAGUACAUAAACGUCUGACUGCCUAAAGUAGGUCUUAGUGCAUAGACACAUGGGAAACUAAUCACAAAGUAAACCAAGGGCAGGACUUUACUGCACAUCAGCUGUUCCACUGUAACUGUCCAUAAACAUCCUUACCCCACAGUAAAUGAAAGCUAACCCGUGGAGUAAGAGCAUGAAACCGCACGUAAGACAUCUGUUUCCAUGGAAAGAGAAGCAGAAACAGGCUGAACAGCCAGAAGCUUUUCAAUUUCAGUUGCUAGCUGCAUUCCCCAGUUCCGCUCCUGUUUCCAUGACAACUGAUGUAGCAUCAGGAAAAACAAAUGUACGGCAUAAACAACAGCUGAGGGCAGAAAAAGCUACUUUGGGAAAAAUGACCUUUGUACUUUAAAAUUGGGGAGUACCUUGCUGACUCCUAUUGGGGUGAUGGAACCCCAAGGAACACCCCCACUGGCCCAAGGGCGGGAAACGGAGGCAGACACUCCUGCCAGGAGCAGAAACUUACUUGAGAAGAUGCUGGCGGUGUGGUCUGGGGAGUUCCCAGUGCCACAUCCACCCUGCUUUAGAAGCUCAUGCUGGAUCCAGGUUAGCCGGUGCACUACAAAGGACAUCAUAAAGUCGCACCCCGCAAUGGCUGAGGGAAGAACACAGACCUGGGAGCAUGGCUGUUGGAGAGCCGACCCAAACCUGAGUGUGCUCCAGCACAAGCAGAACAAAGAGAAGGGCAGGGGUAGCUCUUCUGAUUGGAGGCUUGGAGGGGCCUCAGCACAGUCGGACCAACUUCACACUGCGGAGGAGUUGCCAGCUCAGAAUGGAGGUGACGGCAAACAUCAGCUGUUUGGCAGGACUGACAGGAGGGACAAACUGUGAGUUUGUUCUGGAGACGCGAGGUCUCCUGUGGUCAGAUUGAGAGGGCAGCAAUGUCAGACAAGGAAAAUUAAGGAUAUAUGAUGGACUAACCCUGACGGGCAUACCCAUCAAAGCCCAUAGAACUGUGAGACAAGUGGUCAACUAAAUAUUGAGAGAAAGAUUAGACCAACUGUGAGGAUGAUGCCACUUUACCAUCCGAUGGUACUUGGCCUGACCAGACCAUAAGACCAAGUUGGUGCAAGGACAGGUUGUAGGGGAGGCAGAGCCCCGAGAGACAGUGAGGCACUCAUGAGGGCAAAUGUAAAACAUCAAGGAUCCUCCCUACUCAUCUAAAAAAUCAAGACGUGGUGGGCAAGAUGGAGGGCGUGCUCUGUUAAUAUGAGCCAGCAAGGUUAAGCUGUCAGGCCCCAAGAACUGGCACUUGACAGAUUGGAGCCCUAGACCUCAGUGGCGAACCUGAACAAGGCACGGCCAUUUACACCCAUGUAAACUUACUUUAUAUGCAUGGGGGAAAAAAAACAACUAAACCCGCACAAAUUCAGAAGAGACAAAUCACAAGAACAGCCAACCCAAAAUCAGAAGGCAGAUUUCAAAACCCAGCCCGGGACUUGUGAAUUCUGACACUUUCUGAAAGGUCUAACUAUUCUUGGAUUCCUGGAUAACUUCCCAGCCCACAUUUGACUGCCAUAAACUGAAGAUCCACAUGACAGUUUCAUAAACAAAUCUCUUAUCAGGAGGCCACUAAAUCAAACUCCAUACAGCAUUCUGUAAAUGCACACUGAAAAUGUAAUUUUCUUACUUGUGUAAGUGGCAUAUGGGUGAAAUAACGUCAGAUGCUGUUCCAGUGUCACACCUAAUACCAAAUCUUCUUUCCAUGUGAAGUUGAUUUUACAACUUUUUUACCCUCAAUAGCGUCAUACUUCUUACCACCGUUUAGCUUCUUAAACAGAUGGUCAAGAACCUAAUAAUAUCUCAAUCUAUAACUCCAUAACAGGGAGAUCUAACCCUUUCAGGGCCCAAGGAUCCUAGGGCCAACCAGCUCUGUUUGAUUACUGGAUUAGCUAAAAAGGAUUCAAGUGGUUCCUAGAAAGCUUAGGAGAGCUCAGGUGAAAGAAGUUGGCUCCUGUGAGUAUCACUGGAGCAGAGGGAGA
Long non-coding RNA from Alligator sinensis (Chinese alligator), 2470 nucleotides. RefSeq lists it as uncharacterized. NCBI's taxonomy places the organism in Eukaryota, Metazoa, Chordata, Crocodylia, Alligatoridae. The transcript is spliced from 3 exons. The record is from RefSeq and is a predicted model, not a curated record.